GAAGUCGGAAUUGCUAGUAAUCGCGGAUCAGCAUGCCGCGGUGAAUACGUUCCCGGGCCUUGUACACACCGCCCGUCACACCAUGGGAGUCGGUAACACCCGAAGCCUGUAGUCUAACCGCAAGGAGGACGCAGUCGAAGGUGGGAUUGAUGACUGGGGUGAAGUCGUAACAAGGUAAC
Molecule: ribosomal RNA, 179 nt
Filed under: uncultured bacterium
Lineage: Bacteria
Description: partial 16S ribosomal RNA
Rfam family: Bacterial small subunit ribosomal RNA
Source: RNAcentral